This 253-nucleotide ribosomal RNA is filed under the name uncultured prokaryote. Its description in RNAcentral is "partial 16S ribosomal RNA". It matches the Rfam family "Bacterial small subunit ribosomal RNA", at positions 524 to 776 of the family's 1533-position model. The record is from RNAcentral.
UACGGGGGGGGUAAGCGUUGUUCGGAAUUAUUGGGCGUAAAGGGCGCGUAGGCGGCGCCACAAGUCACUUGUGAAAACUCUGGGCUUAACUCAGAGCCUGCAAGCGAAACUGUGGUGCUGGAGUAUGGGAGAGGUGCGUGGAAUUCCAGGUGUAGCGGUGAAAUGCGUAGAUAUCUGGAGGAACACCGGUGGCGAAGGCGGCAUCCUGGACCAAUUCUGACGCUGAGGAGCGAAAGCCAGGGGAGCAGACGGG